Molecule: ribosomal RNA, 773 nt
Filed under: uncultured Neocallimastigales
Lineage: Eukaryota; Fungi; Neocallimastigomycota; Neocallimastigomycetes; Neocallimastigales
Description: partial large subunit ribosomal RNA
Rfam family: Eukaryotic large subunit ribosomal RNA
Source: RNAcentral
AGAGAUGUGUGAUGACGCAUAUCAAUAAGCGGAGGAAAAGAAACUAACAAGGAUUCCCUUAGUAACGGCGAGUGAAGCGGGAAGAGCUCAAAUUUGAAAUCUUCAAGGUUCUACCUUGACGAAUUGUAGUUUAUAGAAGUGUUUUCUGUUAGUAGAGUGGCAAAAGUUCUUUGGAAUAGGACAUCAUAGAGGGUGAGAAUCCCGUAUUUGGUCAUUCUACUAGCUUUGUGAUACACUUUCAACGAGUCGGAUUGUUUGGGAAUGCAGUCCAAAAUGGGUGGUAAAUUUCAUCUAAAGCUAAAUAUUGGCGAGAGACCGAUAGCGAACAAGUACCGUGAGGGAAAGAUGAAAAGAACUUUGAAAAGAGAGUUAAACAGUACGUGAAAUUGUCAAAAGGGAAGCGUUUGACACCAGUGUUGUUUUUCCGAAAAUCAAUUACGAAUGUUUUGUUUUUGAGAAGUUAUGACUUCAUCGGCUUGCUUCUCUCUUUACGAAACUUUCUUAAUGCACUUUUCGGUUAACAAGUCAACAUCAAUUUCUUUUGUUGUAAAAGGGUAUGAGGAAGGUGGCUUUCUUUUCGGAGAAAGUGUUUAUAGCCUUGUACCUCUGCAAUCGGAGAGAUUGAGGUCUGCAGCGUAGAUCCUUCGGGGUUAGAUACAUUUGUGCUAAGUUAUAGCUUUUCAUAGACAACUUGUUGACUAUGUUAAGUCUUGUAGCUUACUCGCUUAUGCUAUUUUACCUACGCUUAGGAUGUUGAUCUGUAGUGCGUGCGC